Molecule: ribosomal RNA, 652 nt
Filed under: Clistobothrium grimaldii
Lineage: Eukaryota; Metazoa; Platyhelminthes; Cestoda; Phyllobothriidea; Phyllobothriidae
Description: Monorygma grimaldii partial 28S ribosomal RNA
Source: RNAcentral
AGAGUAAACAGUACGUGAAACCGCAUGCAGGUAAACGGGUGGCGUCAAGCUGCAAGCCCGGAGGAUUCAGCUGGCUAGGAUGUUGUGUAUGCGCCUGGCGCAUCUAUCAGCCGGAGUAAGAUGUGAUAGUCCACUGGUAAACGGUGGGCCCGGCCGCAAGGUUGGGAUAUGUGUACCGGGCGGAAGCCGGAGCAUGCUAUUCGUCUGUUGGGCUGUCUAGUCAGUGCACUUUCUCUGUGGUGAACACCACGACCGGUGGAAUUGCCAGUCUGCUGUAGUCAAGUCGUAUUCAGUCGGUUCUUGUAGCCAACUGGGUGCGAUCACAGGCAAACUCAGUAAACGGCGUAGGGGUGUCUCGGCAUCCUUGCGUGUUAUCGGCUGCUGGUUGUCAACGGGCCUGCCUGAUGAUUGUUGUAACCGUCAUUGGGUGGUCUGGUGGGCUAUGGUGGUAAGAAUAACUGUGCAAGGCAUCGGAGUUCUCGGCCUCAAAUGCAUCCUGCAUACACGUUACAAGUGGAGUGGGGUGCCAUUGCAGCCUGCCUGUUGUUGGGUCUGAUUGUCGUGUCGCCUGCGCAAAGUGGGCCCGGCAGUGGCCUGAUGCGGGAUGGGUUGUGGAUGGUGCUUCCUGUGUAGGGUGCGGUGGGUCAAAUAG